RNAcentral lists this unclassified non-coding RNA (378 nucleotides) under Hevea brasiliensis (rubber tree). Lineage: Eukaryota; Viridiplantae; Streptophyta; Magnoliopsida; Malpighiales; Euphorbiaceae. The record is from RNAcentral.
GUAUUGUAAAAAAUACAAGAAAAGUUUUUCUUAGCGUAGCUUUUUUUUGGUAAGAAUUACUUUUGUUGAAAUCAGGAAGCAUCAUUACACACAGAACAGGAGAUAAAAGCUUGGGGAUUCUCCCAAACUUAAGAACUAGAAGCUCCUUUUGCUAACAAAUGAGCGGCUUUGUAACCCACAACAAAGAUGUACACACAAAUAGGGCGACAGUCUGAAAUUAUGUUACCAAACUCAGUACAGUCUUCCCCACAAGAGUGGAUUGCAUGAAAAACAACUUGUGAAUCAAUAUCAACAAUGGCAUUAGUGAAGGAACUUUGCUGCAACCAGCACAGAGCCUCGCGUAAUCCCAUAGCUUCAGCCUCUGUGAAACUUCGACAA